UAUAACAUGCCUCAGAAACAAAAAGCCAAAGAAAACAGACAAAUGGAAAUGAAAUGAGUAGAUAUUAUUUAUGAAAUGUCUUACAACGCGAAUUAAGCACCGGUGAAGCUUGGUGGUUUGUAGGCGAUGAAACUGAUGCACUGGACUUGACGGUUGUUGUCGAAUCCAAUGAUCCUGAUGAAGGCGUUAGGGUACUCCGUUUUGCACUCUUGGACUUCCUUCAACACUUGAGCAGAGUCGGUGCAUCCGAACAAGGGAAGCUUCCACAUUGUCCAGUAACGGCCAUCGUAGUAUCCGGGGGUGCUUCCGUGCUCACGGUACACAAAUCCAUGCUACACACACAUGAGAAUUCCAAUCAAAAUCAGGAUUGAGAUUAUGUGAUAAAAGAUGUUUAGAUCCAAAAAAAACUUCUAUUUUUAUUACCUCCAACUCGAAUUCAACACAAGGAAUCCACUUGUUGCGGAGAAGGUAGUCGACUUCCUUACCCAAUUCAACUUCGGUAAGGUCAGGAAGGUAAGAGAGGGUCUCAAACUUCUUCUUUCCAACUGGUGGCCACACCUACGAAACGUAUUUCCAAUUAAUGAAUAUUAGUUCACUUUUGUAUAUACUGUUUAACGAUUCUAGGUAUCUAAAUGUACUUUUGAAUAGGAUUCUGUUCGAAUCUACCAGUUGCGUGUAAUAAAAGACAAGCCUAGCUCUAGACUCUCUAGUGACAUUUACCUUCAUGCAGCUAACUCUUCCUCCGUUGCUAACGAUGGAGGUAAUGUCAUUGUUGGCCUUGCGGGUGACUGGGAAUGCAGAGGAAGACUUCAAGCCGGUGAAUGGAGCGACCAUGGUGGCUUGAGCCGGUGAGGUAACCACAGCUGCGGAGGAGAGCAUAGAGGAAGCCAUUACUACUUCUUCUUCUUCUUCUUUUUUCUUAACUUACUUGUCUGUCUAUUGCUUCGGUUAUCUAUAUAUAGUGAGAAGCGCAAGAGGUAUAAAGCCCUAAUGAUCGAAGGAUCAAAAUUUCAUGAUAUCGUCGUUAACUGCCACAGGAUUAAAGAAAGGUGUAGAAAUAACAUUAUCUUAUCUUAUCUUGUAAGAAAACGUAUGAAUGUGUAUGGUUACUCGUCUCAACUUGAGCCAAUGCUUUUGGCUCCUUCCUAUUAAGAGAGGACAAUUCUGACGCAUGAUCUACAUUUCAAUGUUCGCGGACCUUCUAUUUAUAUGAAUUAGUUUCGCUUAAUUUGAUUAGGUUCAUUAUUAAAUUCACAAUUGAAAUUACUAUACGAAAUGUACUUGAAUUAUACAUGUAUGUCGUACUAAUUAACUUAUGAGUAAUGAGACUACUGUAAUGGUCAUGUCCAUAUUCAAACGAACAAAAACAAAAGAAUAGUGGGUCCGAUUGGUAAGUUAAAAGUAAAACCGUAUAAAAACUGUUACUUUUUUUUUUUGACACGAAAAACAAACUGUUACUUAAUAGUUAAAAACUAUAAACUAAAUCAAUAAAAGUGGUACCAAAACACUAAAUGUAACGUUUUUAGGUAAUGCUUUGUGCAUCUCUCUGUGAUGGGUAACUUCCUGCGGAUUCAGGUAGUUCGGUUCGACUAAAAUCUUGUUGAACAUAAAAAAAAUUCAGUUCAGUUUGGUAUUUGGGUAGUUUGGUUUUUAAAAUUUUACCGAAACUAACUAAAGUUUUUGGUUCUGAUUAUAUUUCGGUUAAAAAUUUGGGUAAAAUUGGUUAAUUCGGUUAAUUCUGUUAGUUUGGUUAAUUCGGUCCAAUGUUUUGGUUUGGUUAAUUCUGUUAGUUCGGUUCAAAAUUUUGAGUAAUUUUAGGUAGCUUGGUUACUUCGAUUCAAAAUUUUGGUUAGCUAGGUUAGUUCGGAUUGAAAUUUGGGAACAAAAUUUUUUUUGAAACCGAUUACCGAACAGAACGAGCCAAAAACCAUUUUCUUAUAAACAGGCUGAACCAAACAUGCUGAACAGAACCGAACUUCUCAAUUAAAUGAAAUUUCGGAUGCCUUAAUCGGAAUGAUACAAGAUUACCAAUUAUAUUUAGCUCUGGUCAGAUAGUGUUGUAUUUUUUAUGAUUUUUUUAAUGAAUGUAAAAGUUAUUAAUCCAAAAAAUCAUCCUUACAUUGAAAGCAAUGUUUUAUAAGAUUAAGUUUCGGUUAAAUGUAAGAUUAGUUUUUAGAUUUUUGAGUUACUUUUUGAUGUAUAAUGUAUUACAUUUGAGUUACAAUUUUGAGGGAUUCCUUUGGUAAAAUUGACAAAUCAAGUGGUAAUUCAACAUCAAGAAAAAUACGAUGUGUUAAGAUUUGAGUUAGUAUGUUUUUUUGUUUUUCAACUAAAACCCUACGUUCAUUUUUGGCUAUAUUAAACAUUUUGUUUUCUAAAUUAAUUUAAUAGUUAUAUAUGUUUACACUCGCCGGAUGAGAGAGAGAGAGAGAGAGAGAGAGAGAGAGAGAGAGAGAGAAGGAAGUAGUUGAUAUAUAUAUAUGUAUCUUAUUUUCAAUGUCUACCAGUAGUGUGUACAAAAGAUCUCAUAAAGUCCACGUAAGAAGUGUAAACUAUCAAAUGAUGACCAUUUUAUGAAUGAAUUUAAUCUAUAUUAAAUAUACAUAAACCCGUAUAUGAUACUAUUGUGAAUGUGAUGAUAAAAAGAUAAAAUGAUCGUUAUUUGAAUCUUUGAUGACCUAACUAACUUCAUCUGGAGAGAGAGAGAGAGAGAGAGAGAGAUGAGGGAGAGAAGAAGGCAAAUAUGUUUUUAUAUAAAACUUUUAUGACGGAAAAGGGUCGUUAGAAUUCCGUCGAAAUAUUUUGGUAUUUGGCAGUUCACAAAAAUUUUGGUUGUUCCUUUUCCCAAGUACAUUAAAAUUCCGAUGAAAUUACGAUGACCUUAUAUUUUUCGUCGAACUUUGUGUUAAUUGGUCAACUGACCAAGUCGGAAACAAGAAUAUGCUAUAUUCGUCAGAAGUUUUUCAGAAAAAUACUUUCAAAAUUCUGACGAAUAUAGAAUAUUCUCUGCAUGCUUUUCAAUUGGUUGAAAAAUAGAUCCAUCAGAAUUUUGUCGGUAUAUUCCAAUUAAAAAGAGGGUUGGGGUUUCAAAACAAUUGAAAUUUGACCCACAAUAAACUUUAUAACUUUUUGAUAACUUAGAAGGAGUUAUCUGCAUGUUUAAGUAUAUAAGUGUUUAUACGAGAUCAUAUUACAAAUAAUUGAUAUUGUAAGUUGGAUUCUCGAAAUAUGUUUUUUAAGUAUAUAAAUGCUUAUGAGAGAUAAUACAUAUCCGCGGAUAUAUUUGUAGAGGAUUUUAUAACUUGUAAAAAUGGAAUGCUUUUUAACUCACAUCCUAUUAUACACUUAAUAUGUGUUUUUUUGACCUCAUAGGUAUCCGGUUUUACAUUAAUAUUAACUAAAUCAUAUCGGAAACAUUUAUUCGCUGGAAUUCCAUCGGAAUAUUCCGACAAAAUUCCGACGACAUUGGUAUAUUCCGUUGGUAUAAUUCCGAUGGAAAUGAAACCCCAUACCGAAACACCAAAAUAAGUGUUUUCGUUGGAAUUUCGUUUGAAUAUACCGACAGAAUACCGACGAAAUAAAGAAAUUUUUGAAUAUUAAAUAAUUUUGGAAUACAUUGUAAAUUUCUUAAGGCCAACAACCAAAAAAAUACAAAUAUUUUAUUCAACUCCAACAACCAAUACAUAAAAAAACUACACAAUUGAAAGUUAAAUAUAUGAUUACAGAUUUUCUAAAUAUGUUAAUCUACCCAUAAUCCGAAGAAUAAUCAGACGGACAUGAAUCCGAAUCUUCGUCAAACUCUCCAACCUCAGCAUCUGACUUGAAGUGUACAACAGCAUCAUUUCCAAACUCGGUAAAAUCGCAACAAGUUAAAAAUUUCUAAUCUUCAACUAGACUUACGCUGAUUCUAGAGUUUGGUUGCAAUGUGUCAUGAUCAGAACUUCCAAAUAUAAUCUUGAUUAUUGAAGUUUUGAACACUUAUGGUAUUCUUUGUUUUAUCCUAGAGUUUGAAACUGAAUACAACAUAGAGUAAGGAGUGAACUCUGGACGAGUGGCUGACUCAUUUGGUGCUAAAAAGACAAUAUUUCAAGUACUUUGAUAGUUUGUGUUCUUCUUGUUUAAGUCUUCAAGUAUUUUCUGUUUCUGGUGUGAUUUGAAAACUUUGUUUCAUGGAGCUAUGUUUGUUUCAUUUUCUGUGUUGGAAAAUUAUGUUUUAUUUCCUGGCUUGUUUUGCUUUGACAUUUUGAUUAAUGAGUCUGGUUUCAUUUAACAUUUCAUUUUCUAGAGUUUUUUUAUUUUAUUUUGGUUAAUCAGAUGUCGUUUGGGUAACAAGUCUAGUUUCAGUUUUUAGUUAAAUAGGGUAAUAUUUAACCGAACCAAAUUUUACCCAUUUUUGGGUUAUAUAUGGUUAGUUUCAUCAAAAAAUUUAACCGAUCCGAAACUGAACAAUACAUCGACCAAACACUAUUUGGAUACAUUUUUCAAAUAACCAAACUACUCAGAACCAACCUGAUUACCCAAAAUGUCAGGCCUAUCAGAAACAUGUUUUGAUACCAAUUGAAAGUGUGAAUGAGGCUAGAGUAAAGUGCCGAAAACAUUAUUUUCCAGUUUACUAGAAUAAAAACAAAUACAACUAAUUUGUAAACCCGUAAAUCAAGUACAAUCCUCCUAAAAUGCCGUUGUUUUCUAUUGCAAGAACUCAUUAGGGUAACCUAAUUGUAAUCUAAAAAUCCCCAAGAGCCUAGAAUUCAAUUCUAGAAUUCUCUCAAAGUUUGUUAACACCUAGCGGACAGCAAUGACACCAAACGCUUGAUCACACAAGCACACAAAUCUCUAUCGGUUUUCUUAUUCUCCAAAGUCCAUUAUUCUUUAUAAGGCUCAUGCUCCUUGUAUAGAAUACCUAAACCUGCAUCACAAGUUCUUCCCAGAAAAUUUUCCUUAUUUUUAAAUUAUAUUUCUUUUUUCCUUUUUUUUCCUGCAAACAAACUUCUAUUUUACUUAAAGUAAAUAUUCAGUUGUUAAAAGGUCUUGUUUAUGUAGAUGUUCUAGUUCACAUUUGCAACGCAGCAAUGUUUUACUUAACUACAAUUAAGAAUUAAGAAAUAUAUAUAUAUGUGUGUAUCUCUUAUAUAUUAAAAGAAAAACAUUACAACAUUUGAGGUAUACACAUAUCAUCACCAUAAUAAGUUUCAGAAUCCUAAAAAAACAGAUUGGUUCAUCUAAAUAUAUAAUAAGUUUUUUAUUAAAUUAAUCAUAAUUCAUCAUUAAUAUUCAUCAUUCUUUCCUUAAAUAAAAAUUACAAAAUUUUCUAAUGUGGCUAAAGUAUAUAUGAAAAUUAAUAAUACAGAUUUAAUAAAAAUCAUUGUAUCAUCUAUCAUAUUUGUUUAAUUUCAAAUUAUUAAAAUAAAUUAAACGACCACAUUAACCAUAUAAUAAAAAUUUAGAUUUUUCUGUAUAUGUUAUAUAUUUUUUUUAAAACGACCAUCAAUUAUUAAAACUGUCAAAACUCUCACAUUCAAAUUAUUGUGAUCCAUUGUUUAAGAUUUUUCCUAUGAUAAGAUACAAAUGCUUACAAAAUAAUUUAAUUAAAAAAUCUGAUUUAAUAAAUAUUAAGAUUAAAAAAUAUAUAUAUUAAUAUCUUUUAAAUUAAACUAUAUAACAUAUAGAAUACAUAAAUAUUUUAAUUUUGAAAUUUGUUUUGAAUUUUUUUUUCUUGAUAAAUAUUUGAACAACUAUUGACAAAUUAAUAUUUAAACUUAAAAUAUUUCAUUGAUUUUUUUAAAAAAUAUAUAAAUUAAUAAAAUUAUUAAUUUCAGAGUGAAAAUUUUGUUAUCAACGAUUUAAAGUUUUUGGUUAUAAAAAUAUACAAAUGAUCAAAAAACCUUAUGAGUAAAAACAUCAUUUAAUAGAUAUCAAUAUUAAAAAUAAAUUAUAUAUAUAUAUAUAUAUAUGUUAUUAUCAUUUUUUUUGGACAUUGAUACUGGUGAAAAAAAGGGCAGAGCGAGUGAAAAAAAAAAGCAGAGUCGUCGUCUUUUCACCUUCUCCGGCCGCGGCCUCUCGCCGUUGGUUCCGUGAGAAGGUGGUUGCAUGUUUCUUCUAGUUUUAUUCUCUUUUUAGUUUUCGAUGGUCUCAAAUCUGAAUAGAAGCUUCAUGUCUUCGGAUUGAAGUGAAGAGAUUCAGAUCUGGACGCAACAGACAUCGAUCUUGUCAGAUCUAUGGCCUGUGGUGGUUGGCUAGUGGUUACCGGCUGUAUGGAGAAGAAUCGUGUUAAGUAAGGCUUGGGUGGCCUUGCUGUGGUGUGGAGGCGCGUAGAAGGCGCGUGCUGAGCCCUUUCAAAGUCCAGUGGCGAGUUUAAGUUGGAAUUGGAGGAGGUCAGUGGAGUACAGGCGUAGAGGAGGAGGAGGAGGCGCAGUCUACAGCAACGGUUAUCUAUUAGCUAACAGUCCGGUUUGUUUCUUGUAUGAAUGGGUUUGAGUCUCGUCUAGAUGUUUGUAGUCAUCUGCCUUUAUGGUCUGUGUCUUCUAGUUUAUGUGUUGUUUUCUAUAUUUUAAUCUUUGGCUCCAGAUAGUAUUGUUUACUAUGCUGGCUACUGGCUCCGGAAGAAUCUUUGUCUUGCCGGCUUAAUGUAACCUUUGUUCAAGUUUCAAUAUUAAUCCAACAGAUGACAAAAAAAAAUGUUAUUAUCAUUUAAAAAUUGAAUUAUAUAUCAUAUAAAAUAGAAAGUGAUUGUUUUGGUUAAUAUAAUUUAUUAUACCAGUUUAAUUAUAUACAUAAUAGUUAAUGAAUUUUUAUUUAUUCUUUAUUAUUUCUUAAAAGGUAAAAGAACAUAUAAUACAUAAUAUAUAUAUUAUAAUGUUCAUCUUCCGCAAGGCGCAGAUUUUCACUUAGUAUUUGUUAAAUAUUAUGAUAAAUUCUUAUCCACAUGCCCUAUCUUAUGUAUGCACACCGUCCACAAAUGUGUCCAUCAAAGAUUUCAAGUGGACCAUCCUUUCCCCCAGUGGUUAACAAUGUGUGUGGGUAUUAUAGAAAAGUAGAAAAUUUAUUAUCUUUUUCCUUCAAAAGAAUUAACAAAAAUAAGAACAAAGAUAUCUAGGAAGUAGUUUAUAUAUAUAUAUAAUACAUGUAUCUUAUUUUCAAUGUACCAGUAGUGUGUACAAAAGAUCUCAUAAAGUCCACGUAAUAAGUGUUAAAUAUCAAAUGAUGACUAUUUUAUGAAUGAAUUGUAAUCUAUAUUAAAUAUACAUAAACCCGUAUAUGAUACUAUUGUGAAUGUGACGAUAAAAAGAUAAAAUGAUUGUUAUUUGAAUCUUUGAUGACCUAACUAACUUCAUCUGAAAUUAUAUUCCUAGGUACUGCUGUUUUCCUAUUCUACAAAAUAUACCACUAACAUUAUCUAACCUGUUUUGUUAAGUUAUUUUGACUGUUUUCCUAUCCCAAUAAGAGUUGAAAACCUAAUAGCCAUCGGAAAGUAACCAAGACGAAGAAGCAAUAUAGAGAUUACAUGUUCACAAUCACACAUUUGACAAUCCGAUAUAGAAUGUCUGAGAAACAGAAAACCAAAGGGAAAAGAAACAGACAAUUCGAAAUGAAAUGAGCAGAGAUUAUUAUGUGAAUGUCAUAGCAAAUUAAGCACCGGUGAAGCUUGGUGGUUUGUAGGCGAUGAAACUGAUGCACUGAACUUGACGGUUGUUGUCAAAUCCGAUGAUCCUGAUGAAAGCGUUAGGGUACUCCGUUUUGCAUUCUUGGACUUCCUUCAACACUUGAGCAGAGUCAGUGCAUCCGAACAAGGGAAGCUUCCACAUUGUCCAGUAACGUCCAUCAUAGUAUCCGGGUGUGCUUCCGUGCUCACGGUACACAAAUCCAUGCUAUACAAACAUGAGAGUACCAUUCAUAAUAAGAAUUCACAUGGUCUAAUAAAGGAUGUUUAGAUCCAAAAAUUAUUUUUUCUUUAUUACCUCCAACUCGAAUUCAACACAAGGAAUCCACUUGUUGCGGAGAAGGUAGUCGACUUCCUUACCCAAUUCAACUUCGGUAAGGUCAGGAAGGUAAGAGAGGGUCUCAAACUUCUUCUUUCCAACUGGUGGCCACACCUACAAAUUAAAUCACAUUUCCAGUUGGUGAAUACUAAGUCACGUUUGUAUAUAUUGUUUUGGACAUUAAUUGAUCCUAGGUACGUUAUAUACAGUUUUCAAUGGGAUUCAUGUUCGAAUGCACCAGUUACGUGUAAUAAAGGACAGGCCUGCAAUUAUUCUAGAUGGCCACACCUACAAAUUAAAUCACAUUUCCAGUUGGUGAAUACUAAGUCAAGUUUGUAUAUAUUGUUUUGGACAUUUAUUGAUCCAAGGUACGUUAUAUACAUUUUUCAAUGGGAUUCAUGUUCGAAUGCACCAGUUGCGUGUAAUAAAGGACAUGCCUGCAAUUAUUCUAGUGAUAUUUACCUUCAUGCAGCUAACUCUUCCUCCGUUGCUUGCAAUGGAAGUAAUGUCGUUGUUUGCUUUGCGGGUGACUGGGAAUGCAGCGGAUGACUUCAAGCCGGUGAAUGGAGCGACCAUGGUGGCUUGAGCCGGUGAGGUAACCACAGCAGCGGAGGAAAGCAUAGAGGAAGCCAUUACUACUUCUUCUUCUUCUUCUUUUCUCUUAACUUACUUGUUUGUCUAUCGCUUUGGUUAUCUAUAUAUAACGAGAACCGCAAGAGGAAAAGGCCCUAAUAACCAGAGGGUCCAGAUUUCAUGAUAACGUCGUUAACUGCCACAUGAUUAAAGAAAGGUGUUGAGACCCUUAUCGAUACUGACCACUAUGUUAAGGCCACGUGGCAGAAAUGCUAUUAUCUUAUCUUGCAUUAAAAUGUAUGAAUGUGUAUAUAUGGUUACUGAUUUACUGCUGGCCUCCACUUGUUUAUGAGUAUAAAUUACUAAAACUGUUAAAAGUUUCACAUUCAAAUUUUGUGAUCUAUGAUUUAAAACUUUUGUUAUGACAAUGAUACAAAUAAUUAAAAAUAAUAUAAGUUGAAAGUCUCAUUUAAUAAGUAUCAAAAAUAAAAGAUAUAUAAAUAUAUGUAUCAUUUUAAAUUAAACUAUAUGCCACAUAUAAAAAUACAUAAAUAUUUUAAUUUUGAAAUUUACUUUGAACAUUUUUUUGAUAAAAAAUUGAAAAACUAUUGACAACUUAAUUUUUUAAAAUAUUAUAAAUUACUUAAACCAUUAAUCCCACAGUGAAAAUUUUGUUAUCACUAAUUUAGACUUUUUUCUAUAACAUAUACAAAUGAUAGAAAAAAAUUGAGCAAAAAGCAUCAUUAAUAAAUAUUAAUAUUAAAAUAUACCAUAUAUAUGUUACUAUCAUUUAAAUUUAAAUAUAUCAUAUCAAAUAGAAAAAAUAUUUUUUCGAUUUAUAAAAUUUAUUUAUAUGUUCACACCAAUUUAAUUAUAUAAGUAGUAGAUAAUUAAUUUUUAAUUAUUCAAUAUAUAUUUAUUAUUUCAUAAUAUGUUAUAAACAUAUAAUAUAUAAAAUCAUUUAUAUAUAUAAUGUUCAUCCCGCGCAAGACGCGGGUCUUAACCUAGUUUAGUAUUAUAACUAUUACAAGUUAUGAGCUACUUAGUUGUGAGCAAGGAGUACACUGUUAAUGCUAACGUCGAUAAACGAAGAAGGGAAACAAUACUAUAUAGUGGGUCCCAUUGGUAACUGAACACGGUAGUUAAACUGUAAGUCUGUCUGGGUUUAAAAAAGCGUGCUAAGGCGUCGCUAAGGCGUCAGGCGACCUUGGUUGGGAGGGUCACCGCCUCGAGGAGGUGAAGCAAGGCGAAUUCGAGUAAGCGUUGCUUCAACCUCGCUUCAAGCCACAUUUCACGCCUCACGCCUUAUCACACUUCAUCGCUUAUGCAACUAAAGGUAAGAUUCCUAUCACAAGUUAUUAACAUAUAAUAUUCACUUUCUUUUAAUGGUUUCCAAAACUUCAAUUCACUUCAAACUAUUUAGUGUCUUUACAUUUUUGAAUAGAUAUUUUCAUGCGUGAAUCUUAUCCAAGUCUAUAUUCUUUUUUUCUGGUUCUAUAAAUCUUUUGUUUCUAAAGCUUUGAAGACUUAGGUUUAUGUUUAGUUUCUUUUAAUUAUUUGUUGGUUUGAUUCUCUUUUUUUGAAGACUUUAUUGGAUCAAUUCUCUGUUUUAUUCUCUGUUUAUGAAUACUUAUUAACUCAAGUCUGUAACCAUGAAUUUAACACGGCCAUAUGAAAUAUGAUAAUCAAUGUUUUAGAUCCAGAGUAAAAGAUGAAUUCAUAAACCAUGCUAUUUAUUGUCUACCCACUUUUUAAACUUAGGUAUUAGCAGCAAUACCUUCUUACCCAAUGGUAUUCCCUAUUUUAUGUGUAUAUAUCCAGAAAUAGAUAGAACACUUACUUAUAGAUAAUUUUGUAUAUCUGAAAAGCGUAAAAUGAUAAAUUGUUCAGAGGAAUUAACGGGCAUUUCGUAGACACUAUUAGGCAUGCGGAAAUAGAAGACCAAGCUUGCUUUGAGGCUAAUAUCAAAAAAAGGUGAAGGAACCUGAGGAACGACAUAGUCCAUCAUCUAUCCGAGCCAUAAGCUUACAAGAAAUUUGUAUGCUUGAUAAAUCAUGGACUCAUGAAUAACUCUUUAUUGGUUUUGGAUGGGCUUAGACAAAUUCGUCAUGACAAAUUCAACUUUUAGGAGCUAAAAAUCAGACGAGAAGUGUGUUACCGAUAUAUUUAGAGCUUAUGGCCAUUUCUUGGGCUACCGAAUGCAUGUUACAAAUGUCGAUGUGCCAACACUUUAGUACAUAUUGCAAGGACCUCGUCUCGAUGAUACAAAAUCUAACUUUUCAAUGGAGAUAAAAGAACUUUCAAGAUUGAUGAGUAGAUUUUUGUAGAUUUAUCAAUUGUUUAUCACCCUUGUUCUAAAAAAAAAUAAGCAGACUCAUUAGCUAAGAUAGCAAAAACAUAUCACAGAGAUUUGUAUUUUAUUGGUUCUUAUAUUUUGCUAUAGUUACCUAGACCACCUUAAAUUUAAGUACUAGAUCAGCCGUUUGAAAUUAAAAAUGGUUGUUAAACUGUUAAAAUGAAAAAAGUGAAUUGGUACAAAAAAAAAACUAAUAGAGUAGAAACUCUAUAAAUUAAUACUCAAUAAAUUAAUAGACACGGGUAAAUUAAUAUUUUUUCAAUCCCGAAUUGAACUGAUUCAAAAUACGAUACAAAUCAAUAGAGUAAUAAGAUAAUAUUUUUAAAAAAAAAAUCUUAUGUAAAAAUAUGGUCCUAUUAAAAGCAUAAAUUUAUAUAUAUAUAUAUAUAUAUAUAUAUAUAUAUAUAUUCAUAUAAAUAAAAACAAAAGAUAAUAUUGUUUAAUUUAUAUUAACAAUAGAAUUCAUCUCUAUUUUUUCUUAACCUUCAAUAUAUUUUUGAUAAUAUUUAGUAAAAUAUAUCUAAAAACAUUUAGACAAUAGAAAAACAAUAGAACAAUAGAAAAAUCAAUUUUCUAAAAUUUAAUUAAUAUAUAAACAGUAAGAUCUAGAAAGGAAAGUUUUAUAAAUCAAUAACUCUACAUAUUAAUAACUCUAUAAAAUAAUAAAAUAUCCUAAUAUUAACAUUAUUAAUUUAUGGAGUUUUUCUUGUAUCAUGAGAUACACGACAUACUAAAUAUAUUAUGGUCUUAUAUAAUAUUUAUCAUUUAAAUAUAUACAGUAUAUGUUUUUACUAAAUAUAUAAUAAUAAAAUAGUUAUAGUAUAUUUUAUAAUAAUUUUAGAUCUUUAAUAUAUAAAUAUAAUUACUUUUCACAUUUUUCAUACUAACCACAAACAUUAAUACUCUCACCAAUAUGAAUAACCUGACACACUAAAAUAACCAUUUAUUUGGUAAAUUCUCAACAACAAAAAACUAUUAUAGCUUACUCCAUCACGUCUAAGGUUUGUCUGGUUCAAACGCAGCGGUUGCGGAAGUUUGCAAAUGCGGGUGGUUACGGUUUUUAGCGGUUUUAAGAGAUUUGUACGAUUGGUUCUGCGGUUAGAAAUUUGUGCGUUUGCGGGAUAGUUAUGAUUGGUUAAUUACCAAAUGCAGCAGCGGUUAAAUAAUAAAUUAACAAUAUUUACAUUUUAUAUAAUUAUAAAAAUAUCAAAAAUCAUAACAUUAUAUUAAAUAUAAAAAUUAUAUUUAGAAAGUUAUAGUUUUAAAUUUUAAAUAAAAUAUAAUAGAUAUAUUUUAGUAUUUUUAUAAUUCCAAUUUAAAAUAUUUAUUGAAUAUUUUUAUUUUGUAUUUAUAUUGUUUUAAAAAAAAACAUUUCCUCCCGUAACUGCCUGCAACCGCAGCUGGAACCAGCUUUUAAACUUAUGAGGUUUAAAAUGGUUUGAAGCGGUUUAUAGCGGUUUGAGUAAGCUUCAUAAAUUAAUAUAUAUAUAUAUAUAUAUAUAUAUUCAUAUAAAUAAAAACAAAAGAUAAUAUUGUUUAAUUUAUAUUAACAAUAGAAUUCAUCUCUAUUUUUUCUUAACCUUCAAUAUAUUUUUGAUAAUAUUUAGUAAAAUAUAUCUAAAAACAUUUAGACAAUAGAAAAACAAUAGAACAAUAGAAAAAUCAAUUUUCUAAAAUUUAAUUAAUAUAUAAACAGUAAGAUCUAGAAAGGAAAGUUUUAUAAAUCAAUAACUCUACAUAUUAAUAACUCUAUAAAAUAAUAAAAUAUCCUAAUAUUAACAUUAUUAAUUUAUGGAGUUUUUCUUGUAUCAUGAGAUACACGACAUACUAAAUAUAUUAUGGUCUUAUAUAAUAUUUAUCAUUUAAAUAUAUACAGUAUAUGUUUUUACUAAAUAUAUAAUAAUAAAAUAGUUAUAGUAUAUUUUAUAAUAAUUUUAGAUCUUUAAUAUAUAAAUAUAAUUACUUUUCACAUUUUUCAUACUAACCACAAACAUUAAUACUCUCACCAAUAUGAAUAACCUGACACACUAAAAUAACCAUUUAUUUGGUAAAUUCUCAACAACAAAAAACUAUUAUAGCUUACUCCAUCACGUCUAAGGUUUGUCUGGUUCAAACGCAGCGGUUGCGGAAGUUUGCAAAUGCGGGUGGUUACGGUUUUUAGCGGUUUUAAGAGAUUUGUACGAUUGGUUCUGCGGUUAGAAAUUUGUGCGUUUGCGGGAUAGUUAUGAUUGGUUAAUUACCAAAUGCAGCAGCGGUUAAAUAAUAAAUUAACAAUAUUUACAUUUUAUAUAAUUAUAAAAAUAUCAAAAAUCAUAACAUUAUAUUAAAUAUAAAAAUUAUAUUUAGAAAGUUAUAGUUUUAAAUUUUAAAUAAAAUAUAAUAGAUAUAUUUUAGUAUUUUUAUAAUUCCAAUUUAAAAUAUUUAUUGAAUAUUUUUAUUUUGUAUUUAUAUUGUUUUAAAAAAAAACAUUUCCUCCCGUAACUGCCUGCAACCGCAGCUGGAACCAGCUUUUAAACUUAUGAGGUUUAAAAUGGUUUGAAGCGGUUUAUAGCGGUUUGAGUAAUUAUUUCAAAACGCCAACAACCGCUACCAACCGCAAAAAUUUGCAUUUACGGGUGGUACUGGGGAAACCGGUCAUACUCUGGCCCAGUUUACAAGACCUGGGGAAACUACUUAUCAUGUUAUCUUAGAACUUCUCCCAACACUACAAAUGUGGUUCUUUCGAUCGAACCAUAUUUUUAACGCUGAUUUAUUAUGAUAUUACAAUUAUAAAAAAAAGUUACAUAAAUGAUUUUACAGCCGACAAUACUAUAUGUUUUAUGAGAAUCUAUGUCUAAGUGUUUUACCUGAGUCGUUUUAUAAAAAUUCACACAUGGUCGAGUUUACUGCAAAAUUGUGAAGAUCUCUUUUAAACCUUUUUUUCUUAGUUGUUUAAUAUAUUAUUCUUUCGGGAAUUGAAUUUAGAUCUACUGGUGUAAAAGCGUUAAUGAAUCAUUAGUCAAACUAGUGGACUAAGAGGCUUCCACCGGUAAAACCAUCUUGUCCUACUUUUUAUAAAUUUGUAGAGUUAAUACCAAUAUGAAUUACCUUUUUAAAGAGAAAAUUAAUAUUAAUUAGCUGUGUGAUGAGAGAUACUUUUAUUUAUAUAUAAUUUAAUUUAUUUCAAAUGCAUGCAAUAAUAAACUAUUCAAAAGUAUGUGUAGUUUGGCUUUUUUAGCUUAGGUUUUCAUUUUUUUCUUAACAAAUAUAUUAUAUUUAUGAAAAAUAGUGUUUACGGUGGAGAUUUGUUUUUCCUAUUUUCUGAGAGUCAAAAACAUGGAACCGCUAUAUUUGGAAAAAUAUAUUAUAUACUAUUUCUAUUGGUUUUCCUAGGAUUUUGAUGUAGCCGCUCUAUACCUUUUUGAAGAAAAUGUUUUUUGAAAUUUCUUCAGAACAAGUAUAAAUACUGAUAAGGUGAUUGACGCAAUGUCAUUGCAGGAGAAGGGAAUUCCUUUUAACCUACCAGACAAUGCCCUAAUGCAGAGCAAAAGGUACAAGAUCUGUAUCAUGGGUAAAACCUUAAAUCCAGAGAGCCAGAAGAUUAGUCAUCUGAUUAUGGACAAGCCAAGGAAGUGACGAGUUUAUGACAGAGUAAGAGAGAUUGGAAGUUCACUAGGAGGAAUUGAGCUUCAUACUGUUUUUUUUUUCCUCAGGGUUGAGAAUGCUUAAUGUAGGUGGCCUAUAUGAUCUUCUACUUCCAGAAAGUUGACGAGCAUAUCGUUCAUGUAAACUUCUAUGGUCUGUCUGGUCUGUUGUGCAAACAACAUGUUUAUCUGUUUACAAUAAGUGGAGCAGGCAUUCUUUAAGCGAAAAGUCAUGACCUUGCAGUAAUAGAUUGCCUUCUGACAUCAUGAAGAAAGUUUUCUCAUGAUCGUCUGGAUACUUGAGUAUUUAGUUUUAUCGGGAAAAAGCGUCUAUGAAGAUAUCAGCUAGUAUUAUAUUGUUACGUCAUACUGUUGCGUCGACUAUGUGAGACAAAUAUUGCUUGUAAUACUUUUUCAUAUAUGUUUUAUUAUAUAUAGUUUUGUAAUUCUUAUUAACUUCAAACAAUCUUAAGGACUAUAAUUGCAAAUAAUUUCUUUUUUAAGAAAAUAUUUUUUUUAUCAUUGGUGAAAGUCACCCUUAAACCUCAAAUUUAAAGUUAACUAAACUUUAAAAGUAACAUUGCUCUUAGAAAUGCUCUAAAAGUAACAUUGCUCUUAGAAAUGCUCUUAGUCAAAUAGAGUAAGUUUUGGGUUUGAAAGUUUGGAAAAACUUAGGGUAUCCUAUUGGUAAUUACUCAUUUAUUAACUUCUGUAACAGUAACCAAUUGAGGCAAGGACAGAAAAACCAGAAGAAAUGAGCAUUGCGUUGUCAUCGAUCUCAUGCUUCGUCUUCUAAAGAAUAAUAUUUUAUGUUAACUUGACGAUUGUUUCUUUUCCUCUAUAUCUAAUUAUCUACUGUAGUUAAACAAUACGGCCAAUCUCUUUAAUUGACUUGAUCUAAUAAAUGAUUCUAGCCUUUAACUUGAGGCAAUCUAAAUAGAAUAAGAAAAACCAGAAGAAAUGAGCAUUGCGUCUUCAUUCUUCUCAUUCUUUGCCUUGCAGACAAAACACGACCUCUAUAUGAACGGAAUAUGCCUGGCUUAAUUGCUUCAUUCAACCUUCAAAGAUUAUCUAUAAAUGUGCAAGUAUUUAUGUCUGGUGUAUAACAGUUACUUCUUCGAAUCAUGUCAUUGAGUGUGCCAAUAAGACGGACCGAUGGUGCACCCAAUGGCGCAUUCAGGACUUUUGGCCUCUACUGGUGCUACCACUGUCAUCGUACGGUCAGGAUUGCAUCAUCAAACCCAUCAGAGAUCGCGUGCCCUCGAUGCUUAAGGCAAUUCGUUGUGGAGAUCGAGAUGAGACGGCCUCGGGUGACUUUCACUCAUGCCGCUCCACCUUUAGAUGCUUCUCCUGAGACACGCCUUCUCGAAGCUCUGUCCCUCAUGUUUGAUCCUCCAAUCAUAGGUAGAUUCGGUGAAGACCCAUUUCUCAGGGCAAGGUCCAGAAACGUGGAACACGAACCAACAACACCCCUACCGCACCAUCGUCGACGCCACAGCCUUGACAAUAAUAACGAUGGCAGUUUACCUCCACCAAGAAGAACAUAUGUAAUACUACGGCCCACUGAUCCAACCAGUCCACUUGGAAACAGGAUUGAGCCAGCACCACGCAGGCGUAUGAACCCACAUGAUUUCUUUACUGGAGGAUCAGGUUUAGAACAGCUGAUCGAACAGCUAACGCAAGACGAUAGGCCUGGACCACCACCUGCACCAGAACCCACCAUCGACGCCCUACCGACGGUAACGAUCACAUCAAAACAUCUAACCAACGACACGUCCCAAUGCACGGUGUGCAUGGAGGACUUCGUUCCUGGCGGGGAAGCUACCGAACUACCAUGUAAACAUAUAUACCAUAAAAACUGUAUAACUCCAUGGCUAAGGCUUCACAAUUCAUGCCCAAUCUGCCGCCGUGAUCUGCCUCCUCCGGUCAACAACACCGUUACAGAUUCUCAGGAAAGGAGCGAUUCUACUAGAGAAGAGAUACCUGAAAGAAGGCGCCCUAGAUGGAUGCAGUUCUGGAACAUUGGGCCUUUUAGAGCAAGGUAUCAGAGGGUUAGUCCAGAAGAAACAGCGCACAGGAAUACUCGAGGUAACAGGAGCUAAAAAAAAAAAAACUGAAUAUUUCAGGGGAAACAAAAAAAAAGUGUAUCAUUUGCUAAGAACAUAUGUAUAGAAGCUGUCCGAAAAAUAAUAAUAAUAAUAAUAAACUCUGGCUAACGUUUCACCUUUCAUGCUAGGGGUAACAGAACUAUUUAAAUGAGAAAGACAACUAAACUUAUAUCUCUGAUUCUUCCUGCAGCUCAGUUGCAGUGGCGUCACUGUAAUAUCCUAUAGCUUCUUGGACUCGUCCAUUACCCAGAGGAAAGAAAAUGCAGUGAGCAAUUGAGGAAAUGUAGAACAUAACACUAAAACAUAUAUUAAUGACUGGUUUUUAAAUGCACAGAAGCUUGCUAGAGAUUUCACACAUGGCAUGUCCCAUCUGUUAUCUGCAAAUUCAAAGGAAUAAUACCAAAUAACAACCACUACUUUGGAUUCCAAAGUAACAAGUUCCAAUCAGAAUAUAAAAUUCAACAAACAUAAUACGCAAAUUUCGCAUCGCUGCAAAAACUAGCUUAUAGGAGAGUAGGAAACCCAAAUAAAAGUUGAGUAGAUUCAACAAAAAGAGAUGACUCUAUUUGCAGUAGCGGUCGGCCUUCUUCUUGACCCGAUCGUCGAGAGCCUCCGCCACCGAAUCGAAGUUCGAUUUAGGAACGUAACCGAACUUCUUCGCCUCCACGGGGAAAAGCUCAUCGUACUUCCUCUUCUUCGCGGCGUCGAUUGAAUAGAUAUCGUUGUCUUUACCAUCUGCUGCGGCGGAGGAAGUGGCCGGACCGUCGUCGGGAGUCAUCUUUUCAACAUUGGGGGCGGCGCCGUCGUCGAGCUUAUCCUUGUUCUUCUUCUUCUUCUUUGGCUUCUUCUUUUUGAUGGUGGCUAGAUCGCCUCCUUUAAACGCUAACCUUCCACCCUUCGCCCUCUCGUAAGGAUCCGACAUCGCUUAGAUUCGGCACCGCUAUUCUCUCUCUCUCUCUCUCUACGGAGUUUUUUCUUUGUUAACUAAAAGCAGAAGGCCGCCCUUGUUUUAUAUUUUGUUCAGAGCCGCGGCUCUUAUUAAUUAUUAUCACUAGGGAUAUAUAGGAUAUCCGAAUCCAGAUCCAGCAAACAUUAACCCAGAGGCCCGAACCCAUGUUUGGAUACUUGCUAGACAUUCCUCCUUUGUUUGGGCUGGGUUUAGCCCUAAUAAAAGAAAAACGCAGAUUAUAUAAACUAACCGACGAUUUCUUUAGUACAUUUUUAAAACUCUAUAAAUUAAUAUUCCCUCCAUCUCAAAAAGAUAAAUAUUUUUUAAAAAAAUAUUUCAGUUAGUACAUUUUUUUAUAUUUUCAAUGCGUAAAUUAAUUGUAAAUUGUAAAUUGUAAAUUGUAAACUUCAAAAAACAAAAUUGUGUUUACUAAAGUUUUAUUGGUUACAAGUUGUGGGGAAUAAUUAAUUACAGAAAUUAAUAUAUUGGUAAUUUAAAUCUGAUAUGUUUUCUUAACAAGUGUGAAAAUAUUAAAAUAUACAUCUUUCUGAAACAUAAUACUAGAUAAGUUAAUAAAUUUUACCAGUUUUGAGUUACAUCAAUGUAAAAUAUAACACAAUUCAGUAAGAUAAUAAGAAAAUAUUUUUUAAGAAACUUUAUAUAAAUAUAUGGUCCUAAGAAAAACAAAAAUGAUAUUGUAUAGUUUUUUAUUCCCAAAGAAGUUUAUAUGUAAUUUUUCUUAUUUUUUCUAAAUAUAUUGAUGUUAUUUUAUCAUUUUGCACGUAAAAUCUAUUCAUAUUUAUUAUAUCUAUUUUAAUACACUAAAUAAUCGAAUAAGAACAACUCAAAAAUGGUAUAUAUAAAAUUUAGUCAAUAUAUUUAAAUUCUAGUGUUGACAAGUCAUACUAGAAUCAUUUAAUUAAUUAUUUACAUUAAUCAAUCAAAUAUUAAUAUAUUUUUGUUAGAGAAAUAAAUAAUAUUCAUAGAAAGUAUUAAUUAUAAAUAAGAAUAUAAAUAAUAAAUUAAUUUUAACUAUAAAUUUGAAUUUUGUUUUUAGUUAUGACAAAAUAUGUUGAGAAAAAAUCUAAUAAAAUCCUACUGAAAUUUCAAAAAUAUUUUUUAGAAAAUAGUGCAUUAAUUAAUUCUGUAAUUAGUAAUAUAAUAUUAUUAUAAAUUAAUAUUAAUUAAUUUUUAAUAUAAAAAUCUAUGCUAUUUGAUAAAUUAUAAUUGUAGAUUAUAUUAUCUUAAAAUAGAAUUACUAUAUAAAUUAAAUAUGACAAAAUUCUGUUAAAAUUGGUAAAUCAACAGAAUUCACCAAUUUAACAGAAUUGUUUUAACUCCACUGCCUGCCAUAACUGUCUUAUUUCGAAAAUGAUUUGAAUUUUUUAGAGAAUAUAUAAGGAAAUCUCCAAUCUUAUCAUCAUGCUUAUCUUAGGUAUGGUGCGUCCACAAACGCGUCUAUCAUAGAAUUCAAGUGUGUCAACUGUCAUCCUCUCUUCAGGGAUUAACUAUCCGUGUGAGUGAGAGAUUUACAUGCAUACGUUUUUUCUAGAAAAUCACUUUGAUAAGUGGAAAGUUUCGUUAACUUUUCAAAACAAUUAUAACAUCCAUAUGCCUCCGAAAAAGAAGAAAAAAACUCGUAAUCUCCUCCGGGGCUCUUCGAAGAUGGCCCGUCUCCAAGGAGCGUUGAAACCCUCCACUUCGGUCCGGUCGUUACAACAGUCGUCUCUCGCCGGCGCUUCAAGCGCUGAUGCUGUAAUUGCUGCUUCGGUGGCACCCACGACUGAGGUUUCGCCGUCGACCCCUGAGGUCUCUGUAGAUCUGAGUUUGGGUCACCUACCACUACCGCUAGCUCCUGUUCUUGAGUUUGGCAAUUCAUCACCUCUCACGCCAUGUGAGCUUGACGUUACCCCUACAGUAUCGGAGGAGGUAACUCCUGACGCUACAAUAGAGGUUUCCCUUCCAAUCCAGGAAGUGGUUAGUAGAGACAUCCCUCAUGGAGCCCUGCAGAAGGCUGCUACCCUAGGGGAGUACUCUGGAACUAAGAGCUACGCCAGUUUAGUCAAGGACUNNNNNNNNNNNNNNNNNNNNNNNNNNNNNNNNNNNNNNNNNNNNNNNNNNNNNNNNNNNNNNNNNNNNNNNNNNNNNNNNNNNNNNNNNNNNNNNNNNNNUCCCCGCUCCCUCUCUCCCCGCUCUCUCUCUCUCCCCGCUCUCUCUCUCCCCGCUCUCUCUCCUCUCUCUCUCUCCCCUCUCUCUCUCUCCUCUCUGCUCUCUCUCUAUCUCUCUCUAUCUAUAUAUAUAUAUAUAUAAUAUGAUAAAAAUAUAUAUACAAAAUUACUCUAAAAAAAUCUAUAAAAAAAAAGGAAAAAACGAAGAGAUUUGGUAAAACUUUCAUAGUUCCUAAUCGGCAAAAGAAGAAGAUGCCUGGGAAUGAUCGUCGACCUCUUGUUGUCUCUGGCAACAAGCUCUUAACACCUGAAUCACAGAUCUUAGAAAUCAGACAAUGAUUUUCGCUAAACAAAAAUCAGAUCUGAAUAUAGAGACUUUUACUUCUUCAGCAGCGUGGAGGACGGCGGCCAUGUAAACCGGGAGCUCCACCACCAAGUCUUUGAGCCUUUCUUCAGGAAACGAGUGAUUGGGCUCUGAUCGAUUUCGAAACCGGUUUGGUCUCUGUGCCACCGGCUGGUUCUUCCUCUGAAACCAUUCUUCACUAUUUCCGGCGGUGAAGAGAUUACAACAGAGAGAGAGAGAGAGAGAGAGAGAGUGGAAGGAGGUUUGUAUUUUGACAUUAGCGGUCUUCUUCGGACAUGGAUGUAAUCGGAGAAGAAAGAAGGUUUGUUGUCUGAUUAUAGAUAGUGUUUUUGAGUUUGGUUUGGUUUGUUGUCUGAUUUAAAGUGUUUUUGAGUUGGUGUGUUGUAAUAUUUAUAGAGAAGCUAGCGACUUUCGUAACGGCUAUAUUUCUCUUAAAGGUUUGAGUCGGGUCUCGAUCGCCACAAAACGCGUGCGUUUUCUCCUAACGGUAAUAAUGUUGGAAUCGAACCGGUCUUGCAACCACCACCUAAACCGGUCUUCUUUAACGACUCUCCAGGCCCAAAUUCAAAGCCUUUGGCCCAACAAGUUAGAUACAGCCAUUGGGAGGCGGUGGAGGCUACAGACUAUACCAACAAUGAACUUGGGGGAGGAGUAAAGAUUCGAACUUUUUUCCUCUUUCUCCACAUCUUUGGAAAGAAACAGAGAAUGGAUCCAAUAGAGGAGGAGGAGAAGAAGGUGAGAGAGAGAAUCAGAAACAAAGUCAACCAAGUCAGUUCUGUCUCGCAGUCUCUUCUCUCUCCAUUACAAGACCACAUCAACUUCACCCUUCAGGUUACUUUUUAACUCUUUCUUUGUCGGAACAAAGUUAGUUUUCACAUACCCUUUUACUCUGUUUUUCUCCCCUGUAGUUGCUAAACGGUUAAAGUUAGAUUCUUUGUGUAUAUUUUGUUAGUUCUGAGAUUAUGUAAAAAGUGUGUUUUUUUGGGAUUGGUGCAGAAAGCUUACUUCAAAUGUGCGUACGAGUGCUUUGAUAGGACAAGAACACACGCUGAGAUUAGCCAAUGCGCAGAGACUUGCAGUGCUCCCAUCACAAACGCUCAGAAUCAUUUUGAUAAUGAGAUGUCUGUGUUCCAAGUAAAUCUCUUAUAUUCAUUCUAAUAAUUGCAUAAGGAUUAGUGAUUGAAAGUCUGAAACUUUCAAUGAAGAUAGUGUUGGUUGUUGUCUCUUGUUGAUAAUCACUUAACUGAUGAAUGUAGGAGAUGUUGAAUAGAUCACUUGUGGCUUGUCAAGAUAAGUUUGAGGCUGCGAAGCUCCAGAGGACGAGGAAUGAAGCUGUAGUUGGUUUGGAGCAGUGCGUGAACCAAACCGUUGACGACGCUGUGAAGACGCUGCCUAGUCUCGUGUCAAAGAUGAAGAAGGCUUUGUCUGUAUCAGACUGAGAAGCUCUGCAGAUUCUAUUAUUUUUAUCGUGACCAAGAAAGACUUUCCGAUUCUAUUAUUUUUAUCUGUUAUUGAUAUUUUUGAACUCAACUCGGCCAAAAUGCAAUACCAACUUCUUCAGAUUCUUUUUAUAUCUAGCAAAGAAAUGAGAUUAUUGUUGAGACAAAUGAGUCCAGGUUAAACUAUUCUCGACGAAUCCAAACUGUAUGGCUGUUGCUGAAUAAUUGUCAAGUGAGACAAUGAUGAGCGAGAUUGCGGUGCGGCCUGUCUCAUCCCAUUCAUCUUCUCUCAAAUAACUCGGGUCGCCAAGCGGUCCCAUUCUCAUCCUCCCCAUGUAUCUGAACUAAGGCCUUUAAGAAAAAAAGAUGUUAGAGAGGAGAUAUAUAAAUAGGGUAAACUUUGUGGAGAUUAAACAAGGUUCCGAUGAGUUUUUUUUGUGUGGGAAGCAAGCAAAUAAAAGUCAAACUGGAUUUAAAUAAGCCUGGAGAAUUGUGCUUAAAAUGACUCUUCCUUUGGAACUAGAACACUGUUACAGUUUCCUAUGUAGGUCUGGUAUGUAAUAAACACAACUUUUAGUGUCUUUCUUGGUCUGUAUAAACGAGCCAAGUUCUUGGGAAUUGAGAUUAAGAAAAAAUAAUAAACAAAGGGUUCCCAUUGUGCCCGUGAGGCUCAAGUCUUGAGUAUGUAACUUUGUAUCAAUUUCAAUCAGCUUUUGGUCUUCAGUUUGUCCUAUUACACCAUGCCAAGAUAACUUGCAGUGCAAGGUGCUGUGUUGGUGACAACAUAUGUAUGUAUUGAUUUGAAUAAUAUGUUCUCCUACUAAAAGAUUUAGUUCACAACUGAUGUAUGUAUUCUAAGAUUGAUUUCUCUUUAUAGAUGUCAUUCUAACUUCAUAAUUGAUAAGAAUAAAACUAGUAUUCUCAACUAUAUAUUGUGCCUUGCCACAAUAUGAAGCUUCUGAUUCUAUCACAAAUGCACAGAACUAUUUCAAUAACGAGGUGUUUGUGUUUCAAAUCAGUCUAUAUGCUACGUUUAGAGUUAAUAAAAAAGUAAAUUUGAAAACUUAAAUGAAUACUGAAAUAUUAGUGAUUGAUGUUUGAAACUUUGGUUUUAAACGAGUUUAUGAAGUUACCAUGUGUUGUCUCUUGGAUAAUUGAUAUAAGAAUAAUUGCUUAGUUUAAUUACUACAUAUCGGUAGACCAUAUUCAAGUUUUUGAAUUUUUUUACUUAAAACAUGUAGGAGAGGUUGAAUAAAUCUGUACAUUAGCGGUCUUCUUCGGACAUGGAUGUAAUCGGAGAAGAAAGAAGGUUUGUUGUCUGAUUAUAGAUAGUGUUUUUGAGUUUGGUUUGGUUUGUUGUCUGAUUUAAAGUGUUUUUGAGUUGGUGUGUUGUAAUAUUUAUAGAGAAGCUAGCGACUUUCGUAACGGCUAUAUUUCUCUUAAAGGUUUGAGUCGGGUCUCGAUCGCCACAAAACGCGUGCGUUUUCUCCUAACGGUAAUAAUGUUGGAAUCGAACCGGUCUUGCAACCACCACCUAAACCGGUCUUCUUUAACGACUCUCCAGGCCCAAAUUCAAAGCCUUUGGCCCAACAAGUUAGAUACAGCCAUUGGGAGGCGGUGGAGGCUACAGACUAUACCAACAAUGAACUUGGGGGAGGAGUAAAGAUUCGAACUUUUUUCCUCUUUCUCCACAUCUUUGGAAAGAAACAGAGAAUGGAUCCAAUAGAGGAGGAGGAGAAGAAGGUGAGAGAGAGAAUCAGAAACAAAGUCAACCAAGUCAGUUCUGUCUCGCAGUCUCUUCUCUCUCCAUUACAAGACCACAUCAACUUCACCCUUCAGGUUACUUUUUAACUCUUUCUUUGUCGGAACAAAGUUAGUUUUCACAUACCCUUUUACUCUGUUUUUCUCCCCUGUAGUUGCUAAACGGUUAAAGUUAGAUUCUUUGUGUAUAUUUUGUUAGUUCUGAGAUUAUGUAAAAAGUGUGUUUUUUUGGGAUUGGUGCAGAAAGCUUACUUCAAAUGUGCGUACGAGUGCUUUGAUAGGACAAGAACACACGCUGAGAUUAGCCAAUGCGCAGAGACUUGCAGUGCUCCCAUCACAAACGCUCAGAAUCAUUUUGAUAAUGAGAUGUCUGUGUUCCAAGUAAAUCUCUUAUAUUCAUUCUAAUAAUUGCAUAAGGAUUAGUGAUUGAAAGUCUGAAACUUUCAAUGAAGAUAGUGUUGGUUGUUGUCUCUUGUUGAUAAUCACUUAACUGAUGAAUGUAGGAGAUGUUGAAUAGAUCACUUGUGGCUUGUCAAGAUAAGUUUGAGGCUGCGAAGCUCCAGAGGACGAGGAAUGAAGCUGUAGUUGGUUUGGAGCAGUGUGUGAACCAAACCGUUGACGACGCUGUGAAGACGCUGCCUAGUCUCGUGUCAAAGAUGAAGAAGGCUUUGUCUGUAUCAGACUGAGAAGCUCUGCAGAUUCUACUAUUAUUUUUAUCGUGACCAAGAAAGACUUUCUGAUUCUAUUAUUGAUAUUUUUGAACUCAACUCGGCCACAAUGCAAUAUCAACUUCUUCAGAUUAUUUUUAUUUCAGCUCUUAUUAAACUCUUGAAACACAAUACAUCAUAAAAUUCAUAUCUAGCAAAGAAAUGAGAUUAUUGUUGAGACAAAUGAGUCCAGGUUAAACUAGAGUACUAAAAAAAUCUCACUACUCCUCAUAUUUAUCCUAUUCACACCACGUAAGAUGUAUCUCGCAUAGAAAUUAAUUGAGACCAAACGAUAAGCAUCAUAAUAUCCAAAGAAGCCAUCAAAUUCAUUGCGAUCAAGUACGUAGCUUGUAGUUCAAAGCACAGGAACAAAAACUUACGUGGUGUCUCAUGAGAAUCAAGCAUAGCAAAAGUCUGAAAUUACAUUGAAGAAACCUCAAGUCAUGCAUGAGCUAAGGAUGGGUCACUUACUCUUUGCUUUUGCGAGAAUAUCAUUUUACAAUUCCAUGCAUAAGUCUAAGAGGUUUUAAAGAAGCAAGUCAAGGUGCAUGGUUAUAAGCAUAUGCCGUAGUGAACAAUCAUUCAACCAAAACAAUUAGGUUAAACUGAAAACUGAUUUUUAUUAAAAAAAUGAAAAAGAUGAAAAACUCAUCCAUUAAAGUACGUAGCUUGUAGUUCAAAGCACAGGAACAAAAACUCAACAGUACCAAACGUCUUAGCAUGAAAGCAAACUAAAAAUAUUAAUCAAAGGUUAAUAAGGAACUGAAUAGCUUUAUUAAUCUUGGAGAGUAUACGGUCUUUGAGUUUGGACUUACAACGUCGGCUAGGCUUGACAGGAAAACCGUCGACAAUCUUCGGGGUUUGGUAAUGAAGUCUCGUGGUUGUAUGAUCCAGUGGUUCCAAAGGAAUGAGCUGGUGAUCAUAGGUAGCUCCAAACCUGGUUCUAGGGACUGCGUCAAUGCUGCUUCUAUUGUGAGAGACAUACAUGCCGAUUGAUCUAAGAUAGCAAUAUUUUUUCUCGGCGAAAGACCCAAAUAAACCACCAAACUCACUACGAUCACGUACCCCCACAUCAAUUUCUCUCUUGCAGUCUUUAAGAUGCUCAAAUUUCUUACAAAACGGUCCAUGCUUCCUCUUGUUGGUGUGAAAUGUCAAAGACGUGAUUCUAUGUUGAUAAUGGACUCCACUCAACGCUGUCACAUAUUCAUCGUGUUCCAGUCUCACCUGUAUAUAAGUUGCUUUAACUUCGUCAGAAUACAAAAAAAAAUCUGCGUAUUGUUAACAAGAUCCUACUAAAACUUACUCUUUUGAUGUGUUGACCACCGGAGUAACCGUGCUUUUGAGACUCGACAUGAGCUCCUUCAUGAAAAUAUAUAAACUGGAGAGAUUGUAUGCCAUAGUCGUCGAAAGUAACAUAUAUAUUAGAGAUCAUGUUUUUUCCCAUCUCGUCCCAACUCCUAUCGGUACUAAGACGAGUUGACCCCAUUGGUUCCAGUUUGAACAUCUCUGAAUACCUUUUUGUUUGAUAGUGGUAAAAUAAAUUGUUCUUGUGGGGGGGGGAUACAUAUUUAUAUACUUAUAGGUAAAAAGGCUUACAUAAUUUCUAUAAGAAAACUUCCCAAAUAAAAAAAAAAUGUAUAAAAAACUUCAGAAGAGUAAGUUUACUAAAUUUAAGAUCUAAACCAAAAAUGUAAUCUAAGUCAUUUCCUAAUCUCUUCUUGUUCAACUUUUUAAUUUAUUGUAAUGUAUUUUUUUUCGCUUUUUAUUCGUACCUUCCUCUUUACUUUUGAUUACAUAUAUUCGAAAGUAUUUUUAAUUUUCCUUUUUUCUGCGAGGUUCUUUGCAAACAAGCCAAUACGCCGAUUCUUUAGAAGAUUUGUGGGGAGCAAGCAAAGAAAAAGGUCUAAGUAAAUUCAAGAAUUAACCCUCGAGAGACUCUUCUGUUUAUGUAAAAAAAAAAAAAAAUCCAUAAAGAGAGUUUGUGAAACAAGAAAACUCUAUUAAGGGAAUCAUAUAAAAGAGUCAAGUAGAAAUCUAACUAAUAGCCAUGUCAUGAUCUGGAUUAUUGGGGUUUUACGAGUGAAUCUGCUUGCUAGCUCAGUAACCAUGCAGUACACCUUGUUCUAAAAAUUGGUCUAGUGAGCGUUUAUGCGUCUGCUAGGCCUAGGCAAAUCAUUCAUAACCAAAACGAUUUUUGAAAAAUGCUUUUAACAUCUUGAGUAAUAUACUAAUAUGUCAUAUCAUAUGCAUAUGGGUCAAAAACAACACAAAAGAUAAAAAAAUAAAACCCUUUUAAUUAGCUGAGAGUUAAGAAUUAAAAAGACAACAUUAAGACGACUUCCCUCCAGUAAAACUAAGAGUAAACUAAACAACAAAAUCGAAAAGGCUAACUAUUGAGCGUUGCUUGGUUUAUUGUUUUCACGUUUAACCACCGUGCCGGUCAUUGGAGUGGGACUAACGUAGAUACCAAUCGCUGACAAGUAGUGACUAUUGUAAGUCCCAAAGAAACCACUAAACUCACUUCUAUCACUUAUUGCCGGAUCAAUCUCUAUUGUGGAACAGCUUCUACCACAACCAUCGCUUGAACGUCCAAUAGGCCCGUGCUUCCCACGGUUAGUGUGGAACGUCAAAUUUAUUAUUCCUCCCAUCUUUUCCACUACGCCACUCAAUCCAGUUAUAUAUUCAUCUUGAUUCAGUUUCACCUGCAUGUGUUCAAAAAGAAAAUAAAAAAAAACUUCAUUAGAGGCCAAAGGAAAAGUAAAAGAAGGAUUUUUUUUUUAACGGAUACAAAAACUUACAGUUCGAAAGCUUCCUUCAGAGAAACCAAACGUUUCAGACAAGACUAGGGCUCCAUCCUUCAAGUAGCCAAACUGAACACAUGUAAUGAAUUCGCUGAAAGAAACGAAUAUAUGAGAGAUCAUGGUGUGUCCCUUCUCGUCCCAUCGAGAGUCGGAAGAUGGAACUUUCUUUCCCACUAGUCCUGCCCUAAUCAUCUCUCUGGCUAAUUAUUAUAUUGUCUUUGUUUAUCGGAUGAUGAACUAUUCGUAUGAACAUGUCUAUAUUUUUUUUUUGACAUCGAGCAUGUCUAUUUAUAAUUACACCUUGAGAUUUCGUGUUCCUAAUCUUAUCUACAUUAUGAUUAUUUUUUCUCCUAUUCCUUAUGUGUUUUGGCUCUAAACAUGUAAGUAUUCGUAGAAAAGGAAAGUCAUUAUUAUAACUAGUCAUUUUAUUUUAAAUUGAUAAUUCUAUGACUCAAGGAAUAAUUACGCCUUAUUGCAUUUAUUUUAUUAAAUAAACACCAAAUUGCGUUGCACAUUGUAAAAUGCAAAUAUACAGUUUGACAUAGUGAGAGGGAGAAAACAAGAAAGAAAUACAAAGAAGACGUUCCUUGUAGGUCAAGAAACUACGAGAGGAAAUUCAAAUCUCAGGCUGCAUUUUCUCGCACUCUUCUCGGAUCGACUGGAAAAGCAUUGUCGAGAGGUAACGUU
Molecule: long non-coding RNA, 27512 nt
Filed under: Brassica napus (rape)
Lineage: Eukaryota; Viridiplantae; Streptophyta; Magnoliopsida; Brassicales; Brassicaceae
Description: long non-coding RNA (BNAP_LNC003831)
Source: RNAcentral